AUGCUAUUUGAAGACCAUUCAUGUGAUUUAAAAGAGAAGAUGUCCAGAAUGUCUAAGGAGGUUGAAGAUGACGAUCAAAAGAUUGAUCCAUUAAGUGACUGCCAAGAUGCCAAUAAUGCUUGCCCCGUGCCAUUAGUAAUACCCUUGCUCUUUAUGAAAUCUUUCCUAUUAUAUAUUGAUGCAACAAUUAUCGUUGCAGUUUGUGAGAUCCUUAUUUACAUACAUCACUCAGCGGCUGGCCUGUACAGAGUUGCGUGGCAGGCAUAUGUGUUCCCAACCAUGUUAUCAAUUGUAGGCUUGGAAUGA
RNAcentral lists this ribosomal RNA (306 nucleotides) under Triticum aestivum (bread wheat). Its description in RNAcentral is "partial small subunit ribosomal RNA". Lineage: Eukaryota; Viridiplantae; Streptophyta; Magnoliopsida; Poales; Poaceae. The record is from RNAcentral.